GUUGGUAGGGUAAUGGCCUACCAAGGCUAAGACGGGUAGGGGACCUGAGAGGGUGGCCCCCCACAAUGGUACUGAAACACGGACCAUACAUCUACGGAUGGCAGCAGUAGGGAAUAUUGCACAAUGGACGAAAGUCUGAUGCAGCAACGCCGCGUGUGCGAUGAAGGUCUUCGGAUUGUAAAGCACUUUUCUGAGGGAAGAGGAAGGACGGUACCUCAGGAAUAAGUCUCGGCUAACUACGUGCCAGCAGCCGCGGUAACACGUAGGAGGCAAGCGUUAUCCGGAUUUACUGGGCGUAAAGCGCGUGCAGGCGGUUUGGUAAGUUGGAUGUGAAAGCUCCUGGCUCAACUGGGAGAGGCCGUUCAAUACUACCAGACUAGAGGACGGUAGAGGAAGGUAGAAUUCCUGGUGUAGUGGUGAAAUGCGUAGAUAUCAGGAGGAAUACCAGUGGCGAAGGCGGCCUUCUGGGCCGUUCCUGACGCUAAGACGCGAAAGCAUGGGUAGCAAACGGGAUUAGAAACCCCGGUAGUCCAUGCCGUAAACGAUGCAAACUUGGUGUUGGUGGUGUAAAAGCCGUCAGUGCCGUAGCUAACGCGAUAAGUUUGCCGCCUGGGGAUUACGACCGCAAGGUUAAAACUCAAAGGAAUUGACGGGUUCCCGCACAAGCAGCGGAGCGUGUGGUUUAAUUCGACUACGCGAAGAACCUUACCUGGGCUUGACAUGUUGGUUGUAGGGAUCCGAAAGGUGACCGACCCUUCGGGGAGCCAUCACAGGUGCUGCAUGGCUGUCGUCAGCUCGUGUCGUGAGAUGUCCGGUUAAGUCCGGUAACGAGCGCAACCCUUGCCGUAUGUUAUACGUGUCAUACGGGACUGCCGGUAUAAAGCCGGGGGAAGGCGGGGAUGACGUCAAGUCAGCAUGGCCUUUAUGUCCAGGGCUACACACACGCUACAAUGGUCGGUACAAUAGGUCGCAAAACCGCGAGGUGGAGCCAAUCCAUAAAGCCGAUCUCAGUUCGGAUUGUAGGCUGUAACUCGCCUGCAUGAAGCUGGAGUUGCUAGUAAACGCGCGUCAGCAACAGUGCGUUGAAUACGUUCCCGGGAAUUGUACACACCGCCCGUCACGUCAUGGGAGCUGGCAACACCUGAAGUCGGUAUCCUAACCCUAACGGGAAGGAGCUGCCAAAGGUGGGGCUGGUGACUGGGACGAAGUCGUAACAAGGUAGGUGUACCGGAAGGUGCGCCUGG
Molecule: ribosomal RNA, 1244 nt
Filed under: metagenome
Description: bacterial SSU rRNA
Rfam family: Bacterial small subunit ribosomal RNA
Source: RNAcentral